CAGCCGCCGCGGUAAUACGUAGGGUGCGAGCGUUAAUCGGAAUUACUGGGCGUAAAGCGUGCGCAGGCGGUUUGUAAGACAGGCGUGAAAUCCCCGGGCUCAACCUGGGAAUGGCGCUUGUGACUGCAAAGCUAGAGUGCGGCAGAGGGGGAUGGAAUUCCGCGUGUAGCAGUGAAAUGCGUAGAUAUGCGGAGGAACACCGAUGGCGAAGGCAAUCCCCUGGGCCUGCACUGACGCUCAUGCACGAAAGCGUGGGGAGCAAACAGGAUUAGAUACCCGUGUAGUCCCUGUCUCUUAUACA
RNAcentral lists this ribosomal RNA (301 nucleotides) under uncultured bacterium. Its description in RNAcentral is "partial 16S ribosomal RNA". It matches the Rfam family "Bacterial small subunit ribosomal RNA", at positions 509 to 808 of the family's 1533-position model. The record is from RNAcentral.